This is a non-coding RNA of Cordylochernes scorpioides, 107 nucleotides long. NCBI's taxonomy places the organism in Eukaryota, Metazoa, Arthropoda, Arachnida, Pseudoscorpiones, Chernetidae. The record is from the annotation of a GenBank genome assembly.
GCGGCCAUACUACAUUGAAAACACCAGUUCUCACCUGAUCACCGAAGUUAACAACGUCAAGCCCGGUCAUUACUUGGAAGAGUGACCACUUAGGAGCGUUGUAGGCU